ACGCUCGACACCUACGGGAGGCAGCAGGUGGGGGAUAUUGCACAAGUGGGGGAAACCCUGAUGCAGCAACGCCGCGUGAGGGAAGACGGUUUUCGGAUUGUAAACCUCUGUCCUUGGUGACGAUAAUGACGGUAGCCAAGGAGGAAGCUCCGGCUAACUACGUGCCAAACAGCCGCGGUAAUCUGAGCGGGCUGGCAAGGC
Molecule: ribosomal RNA, 201 nt
Filed under: uncultured bacterium
Lineage: Bacteria
Description: partial 16S ribosomal RNA
Rfam family: Bacterial small subunit ribosomal RNA
Source: RNAcentral